Cydia fagiglandana is the source of this 487-nucleotide long non-coding RNA. RefSeq lists it as uncharacterized. NCBI's taxonomy places the organism in Eukaryota, Metazoa, Arthropoda, Insecta, Lepidoptera, Tortricidae. The transcript has 2 exons. The record is from RefSeq and is a predicted model, not a curated record.
GAAAUAUACAGGGUGACCUUAGCCAUUGGACAAACCCUGAAAUCCCACGUAGGGUUACUUCUCAGAAAUGCUCAAACGGUAUUUUUUUUUAAUUAGAACAAAAGAUAAAAAAAAAAAUUUCAAACAAAACUAGUUUCCAAUAAUCGACAACAAAAAGAAGCACACUGUAUUAAUCAUUGGCAGUGCUUUUGCCAAUUUGUUUGAAAAUGUGCGGCAAUGAUGACAUUUGUCAAAAGUCAGAAUCUUAUUAAUGUCAUAAAUAAAAAAGAUAAUCAAAACGGUCGAAGACGGUUUCAUACUAUUUAUUAGUUUUAUUACCUCAGGAGCUACUUGCACAUACAGGUUGCUCCAAAGUAAAAAAAUCGUAGCUUGUUAAUUUCUUCGUAACCGCUACACCGAUUGUUAUGAUACUUUGUAUACUGGUUCUAAAUACCCUAAAGCAUAUGUACAUUUCGGCUCUGUCCAAUGGCUAGGGACACCCUGUAUA